ACCAAAAGGAAAAAACCUCUAGGUUAGAUUCACAGAAUAGGCCAAUUCCUGACAGUUAAGGCUGAAUCACAAUAAUCUAUUUUGUACAUUUUUUAUCCAGAUUAAAUAAGUUGUCAUCAUCAUAUUUGCUACGAGGUUCCUGACACUGCCUGACUAGGGCACCAACCUCAGGAGACAGUGGCAUCUGGGCAGGAUGCUUCACCACCUGCACCCUGGGCCCCCUCUUAAAGGUUCUCUGCCUGCAAAAUGCUGGAAGGUUGUGUAUUUCGCUUAAUAGGGGGAGGCCUGUCCUAUUGCCCCUUCAGUCUGGAGGGGCUUGUCAAAACACAAAUCAGUAAGAGAGGCCGGACCAGUGUCUAGCACAGGCCCCAAUGCGGCCACAGCGCUUCCGGGUACCUAGGCUAGAAACGGCGCCUGUCCACGAUUGUUUGCGAGCCGGCCAGAGGCGACCCUGGCAUUGGGUCUUCCUCUAACGGAACCCUUCCUCCUGCCGCGCAUCCCGGGGUCCGCCGCCACGGGAUUCCGAGACUUGUACUAGAAGUCGGCUCUGCGGCAGCAGAACCACGUUGGCAGGUCUGGGCCCGUAGGCGCAUGCGCGGCCCGCGCUCUCCCCGCAGACGCCCCUCCCCGCCCCUCCCCCAGGGAACGAUUUGGGCGCGUCUCGGACGGCCAGUACCUGAGGCGCCUGCGUCCGAGCGGCCAGAGCCUUAGUCAGGCUUCUUCGGAGGGCAAGCAUGGCACGGCUUCGAGCGCCGAGAAGGGCAGCGGCCGGUCAGCCUCAUCAAAUCUGAAGAAGGAAGUGGGAGAGGUGGAUCCAACGCUGGCCCAGCUGCAUAGGAGGGCAGUAGCUCUACGUGUAAACUCCAGAUGCUUGUCCUUUGGUGACAUCACUGGCUGGAGGACUGAGAUCAGAGAUUCCCUUCAUUUUAUUCCCUG
Long non-coding RNA from Aethalodelphis obliquidens (Pacific white-sided dolphin), 936 nucleotides. RefSeq lists it as uncharacterized. Lineage: Eukaryota; Metazoa; Chordata; Mammalia; Artiodactyla; Delphinidae. The record is from RefSeq and is a predicted model, not a curated record. The transcript is spliced from 3 exons.